Molecule: ribosomal RNA, 232 nt
Filed under: uncultured bacterium
Lineage: Bacteria
Description: partial 16S ribosomal RNA
Rfam family: Bacterial small subunit ribosomal RNA
Source: RNAcentral
CGGACGGGGGAGUAAUGUCUGGGAAACUGCCCGAUGGAGGGGGAUAACUACUGGAAACGGUAGCUAAUACCGCAUAACGUCGCAAGACCAAAGAGGGGGACCUUCGGGCCUCUUGCCAUCGGAUGUGCCCAGAUGGGAUUAGCUAGUAGGUGGGGUAACGGCUCACCUAGGCGACGAUCCCUGGCUGGUCUGAGAGGAUGACCAGCCACACUGGAACUGAGACACGGUCCAG